GACGUAGGGCGCGAGCGUUGUCCGGAUUUAUUGGGCGUAAAGAGCUCGUAGGCGGCUUGUCGCGUCGUUUCGUGAAAACCUGCAGCUCAACUGCAGGCUUGCGGUCGAUACGGGCAGGCUAGAGUUCGGUAGGGGAGACUGGAAUUCCUGGUGUAGCGGUGAAAUGCGCAGAUAUCAGGAGGAACACCGGUGGCGAAGGCGGCUCACUGGACCAUAACUGACGCUGAUGCACGAAAGCUGGGGGGAGCAAACAGG
This 255-nucleotide ribosomal RNA is filed under the name uncultured bacterium. Its description in RNAcentral is "partial 16S ribosomal RNA". It matches the Rfam family "Bacterial small subunit ribosomal RNA", at positions 524 to 776 of the family's 1533-position model. The record is from RNAcentral.